Molecule: long non-coding RNA, 1961 nt
Organism: Carassius gibelio (silver crucian carp)
Lineage: Eukaryota; Metazoa; Chordata; Actinopteri; Cypriniformes; Cyprinidae
Exons: 3
Source: RefSeq, a predicted model, not a curated record
UCCCUGAUAAGAACUGACUAUUGUUUUUUUCUACUUAUUAGAAAUGUUGUCUUUAUAGCCCUCUAAAUUGCCACAUGGACCCAUAUCUCAAAAAUGCUGCAGUAAAAUGGUUUGAUAUGAUUUGUGCAUAUAGUAUGGAAUGUCCUUUAUAAGAUCUGACCAUUGUUUUUUUCUACUUAUUAGAAAUGGGAUCUUCACAGCCCGUUAAAGUGUAAUAAUUUCCCAUUUCUGGAAAAAGCUGCAGUAAAAUGGUUUGAUAUGAGAUGUGCUCAUAGUAUGGGACGUCACUGAUGAGAACUGACUAUUAUUUUUUUCUACUUAUUAGAAAUGGGGUCUUUAUAGCACUCUAAAUUGCCAUAUGGACCCAUAUCUCAAACAUGCUGCAGUAAAAUGCUUUGAUAUGAGGUGUGCAUAUAGUAUGGCAUGUGCUUUAUAAGAACUGACCAUUGUUUUUUUCUACUUAUUAGAAAUGGGAUCUUUAUAGCCCUUUAAAGUGUAAUAAUGUCCCAUAUCUUGAAAAUGCUGCAGUAAAAUGGUUUGAUAUGAGGUGUGCAUAUAGUAUGGGACAUCCCUGAUAAGAACUGACUGUUGCUUUUUUCUACUUAUUAGAAAUGGGAUCUUUACAGCCAUUUAAAGUGUAAUAAUGUCCCAUAUCUCGAAAAUGCUGCAGUAAAAUGGUUUGAUAUGAGGUGUGCAUAUAGUAUGGGAUGUCCCUGAUAAGAACUGACUUUUGUUUUUUUCUACUUAUUAGAAAUGGGAUCUUUAUAGCCCUUUAAAGUGUAAUAAUGUCCCAUAUCUUGAAAAUGCUGCAGUAAAAUGGUUUGAUAUGAGGUGUGCAUAUAGUAUGGGAUGUCCCUGAUAAGAACUGACUUUUGUUUUUUUCUACUUAUUAGAAAUGGGAUCUUUAUGACCCUUUAAAUUGUAAUAAUGUCCCAUAUCUUGAAAAUGCUGCAGUAAAAUGGUUUGAUAUGAGGUGUGCAUAUAGUAUGGGACAUCCCUGAUAAGAACUGACUGUUGCUUUUUUCUACUUAUUAGAAAUGGGAUCUUUACAGCCAUUUAAAAUGUAAUAAUGUCCCAUAUCUCGAAAAUGCUGCAGUAAAAUGGUUUGAUAUGAGGUGUGCAUAUAGUAUGGGACAUCCCUGAUAAGAACUGACCAUUGUUUUUUUCUACUUAUUAGAAAUGGGAUCUUUACAGCCAUUUAAAGUGUAAUAAUGUCCCGUAUCUUGAAAAUGCUGCAGUAAAAUGGUUUGAUAUGAGGUGUGCAUAUAGUAUGGGACGUCCCUGAUAAGAACUGACUAUUGUUUUUUUCUACUUAUUAGAAAUGGUGUCUUUAUAGCCCUCUAAAUCAUUGUAUUGUCCCAUAUCUGAAAAAUGCUGCAGAAAAAUGGUUUGAAAUGAGGUGUGCAUAUAGUAUGGGACAUCCCAGAUAAGAACUGACUGUUGUUUUUUUCUACUUAUUAGAAAUGGGAUCUUUACAGCCAUUUAAAGUGUAAUAAUGUCCCAUAUCUCGAAAAUGCUGCAGUAAAAUGGUUUGAUAUGAGGUGUGCAUAUAUUAUGGGAUGUCCUUUAUAAGAACUGACCAUUGUUUUUUUCUACUUAUUAGAAAUGGGGUCUUUGUAGCACUAUAAAUCACCAUUUGGACCCAUAUCUCAAAAAUGCUGCAGUAAAAGGGUUUGAUAUGAGGUGUGCAUAUAGUAUGGGACAUCCCUUAUAGGAACAUACCAUUGUUUUUAUCUACUUAUUAGAAAUGGGAUCUUUAUAGCCCUUUAAAAUAUAAUAAUGUCCCAUAUCUCGAAAAUUCUGCAGUAAAAUGGUUUGAUAUGAGGUGUGCAUAUAGUAUGGCAUGUCCUUUAUAAGAAAUGACCAUUGUUUUUUUCUACUUAUUAGAAAUGGGAUCUUUACAGCCCUUUAAAAUGUAAUAAUGUCUCGAAUCUUAAAAAUGCUGCAGUAAAAUGGUUUGA